This is a long non-coding RNA of Rhopalosiphum padi (bird cherry-oat aphid), 1391 nucleotides long. RefSeq lists it as uncharacterized. The record is from RefSeq and is a predicted model, not a curated record. Lineage: Eukaryota; Metazoa; Arthropoda; Insecta; Hemiptera; Aphididae. The transcript has 2 exons.
UUUUCUCUAAUAUUAAAGCUAACAUCACAAAAUGUACUCUGCUGAACGAAAAUUUGUUAUGAUGUAGGUACGUUAGUAAGACAACACAUGCGGGUAUGGCGUCUUUUUAAAUAGUCUUGUUACAGCUUAUAUUAUAUUCAUAAUAUAAAUGGUUGCUGAUAAUAUGUAGUAUAUAGGUGCGACAAGUGUGUGUAUAAUAUUUAUUUUUUACACGUGACAAAAAAGUAGGUACCUACUACCUAAUAAAUCAUAUAUAGAUAAAACCAAUGAAUUGCGGACGAAAAGUCCCGUUUUAAAAAAAGUUGGACCUUAACUUCUACGACUGGCGCCAUAACAGCCGCGUUUACUAAUGCAAUCAUUCGCCGCAUCUGUGGUCCUGCGUAAUUGGCUAACAGGAUUGGAGAUGGAUAAUCUUUCAUUAAUCAUCAAAUUGAGUAAAAAGAAUUUAAUUGCUAGUUAAAAUAUAGAUUAGGCACAGUCGUACAGAUUAAUAUUUUUAACUAUUUUAUUAGUUUUUUCUUCAUUAGAAAAUACACUUUUGACGCAGAACUCCUAGCUUAGGUAAAAUAAGAAAAACGUACAACUAAAAUAUCAUAAAUUCAUAACGAUUCACACCGGGCCGGCGCUACCUUUUACGAAUCCCUGGGAAAAACUUAUUUACCUAACCAAUAACCAUCAUAGUCACCUAUAGCUAUAACUUAUACUGGUGACAUAGGUCAUAGGUGUAAUUAAAGGCACGAGGCCUUGGUAAAAUGCCCCGCUUUGCCUCCCUCAUCUAACACCGUCCCACAAGUAUGGAUCACUUAAGACUUGGAAUGAAAUUCUAGAAAGAGAUGUAUAAUGAAGAACAAUUUAAGCAUCACUGCCUUAGGGCUUGGAUCUUUUGUACCGGGCGUUGGAGUUGGCUAGAUGCCAAGACUUCGGGUCCACUAACAUUUUAUCCACCGAUAACCGCUGUUACAGUUAACCAGACAUCCAGCUACAUUAAGUCAUGUGCAAGUCAGUGCUGAAAACUCCGGAUUCAUAUUUUGAUACCAUUCUCUCCUGAAGCAUUUCCGCCGCUGUCAACUUAUGAAGGAUUCGGACACGCAGUGACCGUAGAAAAAGUGUAUUACCGGAUCCCGAUAACAACGGAGAUUUUAUUUUAAAGUCCAUUGUCCUUAAGCCAACUGGUGAGAGGAAGCUCAACGAAUAUGUAUUUUCUUCUAAAUAAUUUUUUGGUGAAUUACGUGAAAUCAGCGUGCAGAGUAAACACGGUGACGUCCACUUAACAUGCCAUAUUAUUAGUAUAUUAUCCUAACAGCUUUCACAUUCGACUGUUUAUUUAUGCAAAAAAUAAAUAUUUUUACGCAACUGGAAAUACUAUUAAAGCGUGCCGAUAUCUUCCUCGA